UUCAGAGAUGUUCACUUGGACUAUGAGGUCAGUAACGAGGGGCUCUCCUCCUGCCCUCUCUCUGCUACAGCCACAUAUACUGAUUCUGAAGAGACAUGAAGUCACGUAGGAGCUGCUGGUCUAUCCUGCUGUUCCUCAGAACAGGAAACAAAAUGAAUUCACCUCUUGUCCUUCUCCUUGGACUCUUGAUCACCGGAGGCUUAAGUUUUCUCCUGCUCCUCGUGUUGCUGUUGUUCUGCUUCAGCUGGCACAAGGGUGCAGUUCAGCAGAAGAGGACAAGAAUCAUAAAGCAACAAGCAGAGAUAUUAUAAAAUAUAAUAAAACACAGAUAUUUGGUGUCUCCA
Molecule: long non-coding RNA, 344 nt
Filed under: Gopherus agassizii (Agassiz's desert tortoise)
Lineage: Eukaryota; Metazoa; Chordata; Testudines; Testudinidae
Description: lncRNA (ENSGAGG00000015785.1)
Source: RNAcentral